UUGCUUCAGUAGCACAUAUGCUGAAAUUGGAACAAUACAGAGAAGAUUAUCAUGGCCCCUUGUGCAAGGAUGACAUACAAAUUUGUGAAAUUCCAUAUUUUC
This is a small nuclear RNA of Dromiciops gliroides (monito del monte), 102 nucleotides long. NCBI's taxonomy places the organism in Eukaryota, Metazoa, Chordata, Mammalia, Microbiotheria, Microbiotheriidae. The record is from RefSeq and is a predicted model, not a curated record.